GACGAACGCUGGCGGCGUGCUUAACACAUGCAAGUCGAACGGAAAGGCCUCUUUCGGGGGGUACUCGAGUGGCGAACGGGUGAGUAACACGUGAGUAACCUGCCCUUGACUUUGGGAUAACUUCAGGAAACUGGGGCUAAUACCGGAUAGGAGCUCCUGCUGCAUGGUGGGGGUUGGAAAGUUUCGGCGGUUGGGGAUGGACUCGCGGCUUAUCAGCUUGUUGGUGGGGUAGUGGCUUACCAAGGCUUUGACGGGUAGCCGGCCUGGGAGGGUGACCGGCCACAUUGGGACUGAGAUACGGCCCAGACUCCUACGGGGGGCAGCAGUGGGGAAUAUUGCACAAUGGGUGGAAGCCUGAUGCAGCAACGCCGGGUGCGGGAUGACGGCCUUCGGGUUGUAAACCGCUUUCGCUCAUGACGAAGCUUUGUGUGACGGUAGUGGGUAAAGAAGCACCGGCUAACUACGUG
This 467-nucleotide ribosomal RNA is filed under the name uncultured bacterium. RNAcentral's name for it is "partial 16S ribosomal RNA". It matches the Rfam family "Bacterial small subunit ribosomal RNA", at positions 28 to 507 of the family's 1533-position model. The record is from RNAcentral.